CCGUAGCCCAAGAGAUCGGGAUAACACCUGGAAACAGAUGCUAAUACCGGAUAACAAUAGAUGAUGCCUAUCAACUGUUUAAAAGAUGGUUCUGCUAUCACUCUUGGAUGGACCUGCGGUGCAUUAGCUAGUUGGUAGGGUAACGGCCUACCAAGGCGAUGAUGCAUAGCCGAGUUGAGAGACUGAUCGGCCACAUUGGGACUGAGACACGGCCCAAACUCCUACGGGAGGCAGCAGCU
RNAcentral lists this ribosomal RNA (239 nucleotides) under uncultured Lactobacillus sp. RNAcentral's name for it is "partial 16S ribosomal RNA". It matches the Rfam family "Bacterial small subunit ribosomal RNA", at positions 125 to 355 of the family's 1533-position model. Lineage: Bacteria; Bacillati; Bacillota; Bacilli; Lactobacillales; Lactobacillaceae. The record is from RNAcentral.